This 425-nucleotide ribosomal RNA is filed under the name uncultured prokaryote. Its description in RNAcentral is "bacterial SSU rRNA". It matches the Rfam family "Bacterial small subunit ribosomal RNA", at positions 355 to 796 of the family's 1533-position model. The record is from RNAcentral.
UGAGGAAUAUUGGGCAAUGGGGGCAACCCUGACCCAGCGAUGCCGCGUGCGGGAGGACGCCUUUCGGGGUGUAAACCGCUUUUCUGGCUGAAGAGGAAGGACGGUAGGUCAGGAAUAAGUCACGGCUAACUACGUGCCAGCAGCCGCGGUAAUACGUAGGUGGCGAACGUUAUCCGGAAUUACUGGGCGUAAAGGGUCCGCAGGUGGAGGGGCAAGUCUGAUGUGAAAGCCCCCGGCUCAACCGGGGGAGGACGUUGGAAACUGCCCGACUAGAGUCCGACAGAGGUCGGCGGAAUUCCCGGUGUAGUGGUGGAAUGCGUAGAGAUCGGGAGGGACGCCAAAAGCGAAAGCAGCCGGCUGGGUCGAGACUGACACUGAGGGACGAAAGCGUGGGGAGCGAACAGGAUUAGAUACCCCCGUAGUCC